Molecule: long non-coding RNA, 396 nt
Organism: Penaeus monodon (black tiger shrimp)
Lineage: Eukaryota; Metazoa; Arthropoda; Malacostraca; Decapoda; Penaeidae
Exons: 2
Source: RefSeq, a predicted model, not a curated record
CUCAUUUGAAAUACUUAUUUUCGUAACCUGUUUACGUAAUCAUAUUAUAUAUAAAGGUUAUUUAAGUUUCGAGGUAUUUUGUAAGCAUCUCCCUUUUGUCUUACACGAACGCCUGGGUAAAACAAAGGCGAUGACGGUGAUCACACAAAGUAGGCGUGCCUUUUUACCAACACCUGUCACAGAGCACGGUGCUCACCUGCAUUCUCUCUUAAUAUAAUAAGAAGUCUGAAACAUCAACACCAAGGAAAUAGCUGAACAAGAGUCGCCGUAAUAGCGUCCGACUCUACGUUUAACAGACAAUUUGCCGUUUUCCUUGAAUGUCUAACAAGGGAGUGACCCCCAAAGAAAACUUAUUUCUUUUGUUAAAAAUAUUGUAAAUAUAUUAAUGUGUGUGAA